AACACUGUUAACCUGCGGUACCUGCGGAGGGAUCAUUACAUGGCGGAGGAGGUGGGCACCUGGUAACCCCCGGGUGUGUUGCCUUCACGCUUUCUACCCUUGUCUAUUUGCACCUUUUGUUGUUCCCUCGGUGGGUCUUGUACCUGCCGGCGGCAACUUUCAAAACCUCUUUGCAGUUAGCAUCUAAUUCUUCUGAUAAAAAUAACAAAUCGUUACAACUUUUAGCAACGGAUCUCAGAU
Molecule: unclassified non-coding RNA, 240 nt
Filed under: soil metagenome
Description: partial contains 5.8S ribosomal RNA, internal transcribed spacer 2, and large subunit ribosomal RNA
Source: RNAcentral